GCACAACGCGAAGAACCUUACCACCUUUUGACAUGCCCGGACCACCAGAGAGAUCUGGCUUUCCCUUAGGGGACUGGGACACAGGUGCUGCAUGGCCGUCGUCAGCUCGUGUCGUGAGAUGUUGGGUUAAGUCCCGCAACGAGCGCAACCCACGCCAUUAGUUGCCAUCAUUUAGUUGGGCACUCUAAUGGGACCGCCGGUGGUAAGCCGGAGGAAGGUGUGGAUGACGUCAAGUCCUCAUGGCCCUUACAGGGUGGGCUACACACGUGCUACAAUGGCGACUACAGAGGGUUGCAAGCCAGCGAUGGUGAGCCAAUCCCAAAAGUCGUCUCAGUUCGGAUUGCACUCAGCAACUCGAGUGCAUGAAGUCGGAAUCGCUAGUAAUCGCGGAUCAGCAUGCCGCGGUGAAUACGUUCCCGGGUCUUGUACACACCG
This 435-nucleotide ribosomal RNA is filed under the name uncultured bacterium. RNAcentral describes it as "bacterial SSU rRNA". It matches the Rfam family "Bacterial small subunit ribosomal RNA", at positions 954 to 1392 of the family's 1533-position model. The record is from RNAcentral.